This is a long non-coding RNA of Anguilla rostrata (American eel), 3228 nucleotides long. RefSeq lists it as uncharacterized. The record is from RefSeq and is a predicted model, not a curated record. The transcript is spliced from 3 exons. Lineage: Eukaryota; Metazoa; Chordata; Actinopteri; Anguilliformes; Anguillidae.
AAAUGCGGGCGGCUCCUUCCUUUACUUGCAGGUGGCGCAAAUGCUGCAAUGAAGGGAGAGGAAGGGUUAUGGCGGGUGGAUUUAAAAUAACAAGCAGACGCAGUGAACCCGGUUCUGCGGCGAAUAACUAGAAAGGCGACGGCGGCAAGUUGUAGACAUUGUUUCUCAGUGGUGCAUUUUAUCCUAUAUCAUUGUAAGAGUUUCGCUCUUGUAUUUAUUGCUGAGUUCCGAACAGCUUUCUUCCCAAUGUCCUGCAUCCAUGCGCUUUUCUUUUAUUUUUUGUUUUGCAAACAUCUGCCAACUAACAAACGUAAACUACCACCAAGAGUCCUGACUACUUGACCGGUCUCUCCGCGACGUCCAAGUGCGCAGAAAUCGCGUCCUUCGGAAGGAAAGACGGAAGUUUGACAGUCCCUGCCCUGCUCACCAAGUAAGCCGCUCUCUGUGCCGUGAUCUCUGCUCCUGUGUACCAGGCAUCAUGGGAAAUCAGUCUGACUGUUCAGCUGGAAACCUGUGGCGGCCCUGAAGGGUCGUCAAGGGAACUAGCUACUCUGCCACAGUACUCUUCACACAAUCUCCUAAUCAACAUUGAUGAAUACUGAUUAGACAAGAACAUAAAAAUCUUUUAUGGAAAGGAUCUAACUGCCAAAUGUGCCCUCUUGUUCAUAGAUACCAUGGACUUGAUUCAUGCCCAUUUCCAUCAUAUUGCUACUGCUGAAUUUGACGAGCAUUAAUUAUUGUUCUUUAUCUAAUAUUCUUCAUAACUUGAGCUAUGAUUUUCCUUAUUGUGUUUAUUGAAUGGAAAGCAUUCUGUGUAUCACAUGCAAGCUAAUUAAUGUGUAAACACUGGACUAAUGAUCUGAUGAAGAUCAUCUGACUUAAAUGUAUUAUGAAAUUUGAGAGGGUGUAGGCAUUGUCAUUUUUUACAAAAGCAAAAACAACUUGUUUUAUUAUUUAAUUAUUUGAAAAUAUAUAAAUUUAUUUGAAUCAACAAGUAUUCUUGCUGUUCAAUAAUCAUCAUAGUAGUUUAAGUGAGCAAUGUAAUGGCUAAUUUUGUUCUAGCAUUUCAUCGAUCUUGUGAGCCACCAAGCUUUGUAGAAAAUUGUGCAAGAAACUGUUUAGAACUAUUUCAAAUAGACAUCAUGUGCAUUUAUUUUUCUUGCUAGUUGUUUCCUCAACCUACUGUCUGAUUGCUGUUUGAAAGCCUUUUUGCAAUCCAGCUACUUUUUAUGCUCUGUUGCAUAUUUAUCAUUGUUCAAGGCACCACUUGCAUGCGUUUCCAGUCCUCUAAUGGGAAUCUGUGCAAUGGACUCGUAAUGACAACAUAUUUACCUUGACUUUGACAUUGGGAAUCCUACCGCUAAAAAUAUUGAUAAAAAAUGAUCAUGGCCUAUUUAUAGAACAUGCAAAGACAAUAAGCCAUAGCUACACCUAAUAGAUUUUUUGAGAAGUCAUGAAUGGCAACACAAUAAAUAUGUGUGAACAUAUUCACUUUUAAGAGCAUGAAAAUUAUUAUAUUUUCACAUGUUUGUGACCGUGAAUUGUUCCCGAAGCAAUAAUGAUAAUUGAAUUUUUAAAUGGCUGCUGGGUGCAUUAUGCCGAACACCAUAACAGCUUUUCCGUGAGCGGGAAUUUUAAUGCAGCGUGUUUACUGAAAUAACACAUCAACGGUACUGUAUGUCAUGAUCAUGAUCUGGAAGAAUGACUCCAGUGGAAAUUAAAUUUCAAAGCACUUCAGAUAGAUGAAUUUGACAGUGGAACAAAACCUGUGUCUUCUGAAACGGCAGUAUUAUCAAGUCAAUGCUCACCUUCAUGCUGAUGAGGUUAAUCCUUUGACAGUGUCUGAAAGGGGAAAUUAAUCUGCUCCAUCUAUUCACUUAAUCUCACAGUUUGUCUUAGCAGUUAAUACAUCUGCAGCACACUGAGGGCUAAAUUGCUGCUAAUUAGUAGCACGCGAUCCGGUUGAAAAGUGAAGGAAAUAGCAGCGUUUUAAAUUUUACCCCAACUGCUGAGGCAUGAAACAAGUCAUGCGUUAGUCUUGGGGGUGCAUUGUGGGGAGAAGUGCUGAGCAUAGGAGAACACUGAAUACACAAACCCUGCCGGGAAUAUGCAAGAGAUUUUAAAUAUAUAUAUAUAGAUAGUAUCCUCCGUAACUCGCUAGCAUUUCCGUUUUCACCCGCAGUAAUGUCGUACCUCUUGGGGAGGGCAGUUGGUUUUCUCCAUAGCUGUGGCCUGCUCUCUGUUCAGUAUGAUUAAAUGUCAGAGAGGAGGCUUUUGCGUCUUGGCGAGAACAUGGUGCGAUUAAAAAGUUUUCCUGGACAUUUUUCCUGCUGCAAUUUCAAAGCGCAUAAUGUUUCAUUUUUAAUAUUGCAUCCGUUUCUCCCCACAGCAAGCCCACACACCCCGUUGGGAAUGCCACUGUUUUGUAGUCAUGACAGGCCCAGUGAGGUUCACCGGCUGGAGAUAUACAGUAGACUUCAAAAAAGGUGCGAAAAACUCUGCAUCUCUGCUGUCUUAAUACCAUCUUUUUUUAUCGCAAGGUUUUUCAUCUUGCCUGCUUUGAUGCUGGAAGGUUUAUCCAAGGAAAAAAAAAACAAGAAAACUACUUCACAAAUAUUAUUAAAAAAAUAAGGGAACCCCCCCCCCCCCAAUGCUCUUGGGUUUGAGGGCUACUGGGGGGAGGGUCAGGCAAGCACGCUGACAGCCCCAGCUGUGUGAAAGGAUUCAGUGAUCUUCUAAGAAGCUUGCGCUGAAACAUAAGUCCUGCAGUUUCAUUGCGGUCAACCCCUUGGGGCUAGCAGGUUCUUUCAGUUUUAGCCCGUAGGUUUUCUGUGAGAAAAGAAAAGAACAUCCCAGCUGAUAAUUCUUUCCACCGUACUGAUGACUUGAAUUUAUACUGUGAGUGCUCAUCUUUGAUUUAAGUUCCUUUUCCCUUUACUGUGAAGAGAAAGUAUUGGUUAUUCUCACAAGCUGAAAUUGAUGAUUUCAACUGGUAUUAUCGAAAGCUGUGUUUGGUAGGAAAUGCAAUUUUGUUUUGUGUUUGUAAAGGUUGCAUUAGCAGGUUGGGUAAAAACACUUAACAGUCCCAGAAAUUAGCUAUGUUUAUUAAAGCUAACAUUGUUGCCAUAGUAACCUUAUUCCAAGCUGUAGUGUACAGCACUCAUCAUAGAUUGAUAUGGCUUAGUACAUUUAAUUUUAAUUAACCUAUUUAUGUCUUAUUAUAGUGUU